RNAcentral lists this ribosomal RNA (464 nucleotides) under Vreelandella stevensii. RNAcentral's name for it is "partial 16S ribosomal RNA". It matches the Rfam family "Bacterial small subunit ribosomal RNA", at positions 338 to 795 of the family's 1533-position model. Lineage: Bacteria; Pseudomonadati; Pseudomonadota; Gammaproteobacteria; Oceanospirillales; Halomonadaceae. The record is from RNAcentral.
CCUACGGGGCGCUGCAGUGGGGAAUAUUGGACAAUGGGCGAAAGCCUGAUCCAGCCAUGCCGCGUGUGUGAAGAAGGCCUUCGGGUUGUAAGCACUUUCAGUGGGGAAGAAAGCCUUGGGGCUAAUACCCUCGAGGAAGGACAUCACCCACAGAAGAAGCACCGGCUAACUCCGUGCCAGCAGCCGCGGUAAUACGGAGGGUGCGAGCGUUAAUCGGAAUUACUGGGCGUAAAGCGCGCGUAGGCGGUCUGAUAAGCCGGUUGUGAAAGCCCCGGGCUCAACCUGGGAACGGCAUCCGGAACUGUCAGGCUAGAGUGCAGGAGAGGAAGGUAGAAUUCCCGGUGUAGCGGUGAAAUGCGUAGAGAUCGGGAGGAAUACCAGUGGCGAAGGCGGCCUUCUGGACUGACACUGACGCUGAGGUGCGAAAGCGUGGGUAGCAAACAGGAUUAGAUACCCUUGUAGUC